UACGGAGGGGGCUAGCGUUGUUCGGAAUUACUGGGCGUAAAGCGCGCGUAGGCGGACCUGCAAGUCGGGGGUGAAAGCCCGAGGCUCAACCUCGGAACUGCCUUCGAUACUGCGGGUCUCGAGUCCGGGAGAGGUGAGUGGAAUUCCUAGUGUAGAGGUGAAAUUCGUAGAUAUUAGGAAGAACACCAGUGGUGAAGGCGGCUCACUGGCCCGGUACUGACGCUGAGGUGCGAAAGCGUGGGGAGCAAACAGG
Molecule: ribosomal RNA, 253 nt
Filed under: uncultured bacterium
Lineage: Bacteria
Description: partial 16S ribosomal RNA
Rfam family: Bacterial small subunit ribosomal RNA
Source: RNAcentral